RNAcentral lists this unclassified non-coding RNA (327 nucleotides) under soil metagenome. RNAcentral's name for it is "partial contains 5.8S ribosomal RNA, internal transcribed spacer 2, and large subunit ribosomal RNA". The stretch from base 1 to 120 matches the Rfam family "5.8S ribosomal RNA", at positions 35 to 154 of the family's 154-position model. The record is from RNAcentral.
GAUGAAGAACGUAGCGAAAUGCGAUAAGUAAUGUGAAUUGCAGAAUUCAGUGAAUCAUCGAAUCUUUGAACGCACAUUGCGCCCUUUGGUAUUCCGAAGGGCAUGCCUGUUCGAGCGUCAUUUCACCACUCAAGCCUGGCUUGGUAUUGGGCGCCGCGGUCGAUCCGCGCGCCUCAAAGUCUCCGGCUGAGCUGCCCGUCUCUAAGCGUUGUGAUUUCAUUAAUCGCUUCGGAGUGCGGGCGGCCGCGGCCGUUAAAUCUUUCACAAGGUUGACCUCGGAUCAGGUAGGGAUACCCGCUGAACUUAAGCAUAUCAAUAAGCGGAGGA